AGGAGAGCGGCCCGGUGCGCGCGCGCAGAGAGAGAACCCGAGACAGAGAGAGGGAGAGGGUGAGAGAGCGAGAGCCAACCACCGCCGAGUCAAGAUUCAGCGAUUCCACAGCAAUCGCCCUAAUGACAACAGCCUCAUAAUAUCUCCCCUAAAUCCACAAUAUCAGCUGCCUCUCUUGGAGCUAUAGAGGAGGUUGGGUUGAGAAGCCUGGAAGCCCUCCCCCUCCUCACCCCCAUGCCAGCUCUCCCCAAACUUUCCAAGGAGCCCUGGGUCUACCUACCAGCCCCAGAAGCUCGUGACCCCGAAACUGCAUCCCCUGGAGCCGAGGACCCAAGGCGCCGAGCGGGCGGGUGAACCCAGCCAGUCCCCUCCCAGUCCCCGCAACCCCCGCCUUUGGGUUGGGGCGACCCGGCCUCUCCCUGCCGCCGCCGGGCCAGCGGCGGCAGGAGGCUGGGCAGGUGCCGCGGGCUCUGCCGAAAGCGCUGAAAUCGAAAACCGUCGCCGCUCUAGGAGAACUGAGGCAAGUGAGGCUGAGGCUCAGCUCGUCGACAUCGCCGCCCCCAGCCUCGGCCCAGGAGCCUGCCGACCUGCCUGCACCCCUCCAGCUCCCGGGGUGGCCCCGGCUUGGGGGUGCAAAGCUGGGCGGAGGGCGGAGGCCAGGCGCGCAGCUUUGUGCGCCCGGCCAGGGCCGGGCGAGGCGGGGCGGGCGCGCAGCCCGGGGCUGUCAGAGCCUCCCCGCAGAGCCGAGCUCCGCGCCGCCCACCGAGCCCACCUCGCGGGCCGGCAGCUGCCAGAGCCUCUCCGCUCCGGCCCGAAGCACCAAGCCCGCCGCCCAGAGCCCCCGCCCGACCCUAACGCAGAGCUGUGAGCCUGAAGGGCCGCGCUGGACAUGGCCAGAGAAAGACUUUUCUUUUUCCAACUUCGGCGUUUGGUUUUGUGUGUCCACCACGCGCAGCUCCGGAGCUGGCAGACCCCAAAUGGAUUCUCAACAGGUGGCCAAGAUUCCAGGAACGCAGUGGUCCCCGCAGGAUCCCUGCGAGAGCAGCUUCGAGUCGCAGGGGUGCUACCCGCAUCCCCAUCCCCGCACGCCGGAAGCCAGCGCUCCCCCGGGCUUCAGAGACUGGAAGACGCGCGGGCCCGCAAGGAGGCUCCGGGCGGAGGGAAAAGUCUCAAGGCUUUCGCAGCACGACCCCGAGCCACCCUCCGUGGUACCCUUCUUUCUGCUCCAGGCCCCUAGGCCUCUCCAAGGGCUCUAAGGGAUGGCGUGGCCCCAGGGUGCCUGGGCUUGGCCGGGGAGCACCCUCCUGAGGCCGCAGAACCCAGCACGCCGGCGGGGAAGGGAGGAGGGGCCGAGGGGGCGGGCCCAGGCCAGUUCCCAGUUACAAAUACAGCCGCUCCCGGGAGGCCGAGGAGGAGAGUUUCGCCCCCAAACACGUACAUCACUCACCCGAGGCGCCUUGUUUUCCACUCUUGGGUCCUGCAGUUUCCCCAGGAUCCCGUGACGCACUGGGCCAGUUGGCCAGCGUGGUGGCGGGGUGUGCCCGAGAGUCUUGAGGAGAGCCCCCCUCCUCCCAUGUGGCUUAGCCUGGCCUGGCCAAAAUCCACCAGAAGAGAGAGCCCAGAGGCUGUCUCAACCCUUCCAAGGGGAGCAAGGUGCAGGAUCGUUGGAGGAUCGCCCUCCUCCUGGAAAGUUAAGAAGAUGGGGAGAUGAAGGUGUAAGAGAGGCCUAGAAGGCCCCGGGGCAGAAGGCCUUAUUAACCUGGCACCCCACCUAAAGCCCCGGGUUUACACUUGCACACUUCCUUCUCCCCAUGCAGACUCAGGAGGUCGCACAUAUCCGAUAUCAGGCUUGAGCUGAGUCACCUGACUCUACACAGAACAUAUAUGCAGCUGUACCCGAAUACGUACCCGAGAAUUAGAGGAACACUAACAGCAGAAUCGGAAGAAAAAAAGAAGUGUUCGCAGACAGAAUUAUUCCAACGCACGGGUGCACAUCGAGUUGUCCAGAUGCAGACAAAAGCUGUGGUGCCCACAAGGAAUGACCCCAGCCACAGGCAGAUGUGCAGGAAGCCACACACAGGGAGAGCCUGAAGGAGGAUGCAGGACUCGGGGCCAAGGGCUUCCUGCUAGAGGGACGUUGGCUUCCAAGGGUGAAACUGUUAAGCCAACCAGUUAAAGGUUUCAGGUCAAGUCCUGGAGACUAGAAAGAGCACGACGUCCAUCCAACGCUGAUCCUUUUGCCUUCCACUAAGCUGGGCUUUAGACACUCAGAAGAGGGCAACCCAGGAAAGAAUCAUUUUGAUUCGGGUUAUUUAUUUGUUACUAUUGUUGGUUAAGGAGAUUGUGUUCUGAAGAAGGAUGGGUGGGGAGCAUAGAUGGAUGCCCUAACUCAAUGCUGGGAGAUUCCUAAUUCUUAAUGGGAACAUUCGGCUCCAACGAGGGUUCAAGAAGCCAGGGGCCCUUAUUUUGCCUCUUUCUUGCCUUUCAUUGCUAAAUGCAGUCCUUAGAAACAACCUUCACCUAGCUCCACGCCCUCCUGUCCUCACUUCCAUCCCAAUCCCCUUUAUAUCAAAUAUGUCCACAAAAGAACACUCCCAAGCAAACUGAACUAUUUUAUUACACUAAUUUUCUUUGUGGGAUAUUGGGGUAUUCUCACCCCCUCCUACCCAUUUCCAAACAGAAGCCACCAUCCUGAGAGUUUCAAAGAGGGAUUCCUCGAGUGGCUGUUCCAAAAGGCCUUAGCAAGUGCACAGGCUUGAUGCUGCCUUCAGCUCCUUUUGCCUUCCAGACAGUAGCCACCACGGGUUUCCCCGCAGAAGAGGCAGGCACCCUGGAUGCAAAGUCGCCCUUCUUUCCACUUCACCUCCCCCACCCCACCUCUCUCUCUGAAAGUCGAGGGUGCAUUUGGGAAGAUUCUUUUAGAGAAAAAGAGGGGGAGGGAAGAGGACUCUCUGGGCUAGCAAGUGGAUGACUCCCCUCCAAGGGGCUGAGGAAGAUUUCUCUUGUGAAGAGGAGAUGAACCACUCCCUAAACAGGACAGGGGGACACUUUGAAGCAGAUCCAGUUGCCCAAGAAAUGUAGGAUGAGGAGUGGGAAGUAUGAGGAAUUUCUUCCCUUUUGGAGGCUAACAUGUGUGUCUCCCCCACCCCCAAUCCUGGAAAUUUUAGCAAGAGAUGUUCUGGUAGAUGUUUCGAACAAUAAAGACUGAAAAUCA
Phacochoerus africanus (Common warthog) is the source of this 3214-nucleotide long non-coding RNA. RefSeq lists it as uncharacterized. NCBI's taxonomy places the organism in Eukaryota, Metazoa, Chordata, Mammalia, Artiodactyla, Suidae. The transcript has 5 exons. The record is from RefSeq and is a predicted model, not a curated record.